RNAcentral lists this ribosomal RNA (460 nucleotides) under uncultured bacterium. RNAcentral describes it as "partial 16S ribosomal RNA". It matches the Rfam family "Bacterial small subunit ribosomal RNA", at positions 338 to 795 of the family's 1533-position model. The record is from RNAcentral.
CCUACGGGCGGCAGCAGUGAGGAAUAUUGGUCAAUGGGCGGAAGCCUGAACCAGCCAUGCCGCGUGCAGGACGACGGCUCUAUGAGUUGUAAACUGCUUUUGUACCGGGGUAAAAUGCUCUACGAGUAGGGUUUUGAAAGUACGGUACGAAUAAGGAUCGGCUAACUCCGUGCCAGCAGCCGCGGUAAUACGGAGGAUCCGAGCGUUAUCCGGAUUCAUUGGGUUUAAAGGGUGCGUAGGUUGUUUUAUAAGUUAGCGGUGAAAUACCGAGGCUCAACCUCGGGGCUGCCGCUGAUACUGUAGGACUAGAGAGCGGAUGCAGCAGGCGGAAUGUGUAGUGUAGCGGUGAAAUGCAUAGAUAUUACACAGAACACCGAUUGCGAAGGCAGCUUGCUAGGCCGGAUCUGACGCUGAUGCACGAAAGCGUGGGGAGCGAACAGGAUUAGAUACCCUGGUAGUC